UACGGGGGGGGCAAGCGUUGUUCGGAAUUACUGGGCGUAAAGGGUUCGUAGGUGGCUUGCUCAGUCAGACGUGAAAUCCCUCAGCUUAACUGGGGAACUGCGUCUGAUACUGGAUGGCUUGAGUUUGGGAGAGGGACGCGGAAUUCCAGGUGUAGCGGUGAAAUGCGUAGAUAUCUGGAGGAACACCGGUGGCGAAGGCGGCGUCCUGGACCAACACUGACACUGAGGAGCGAAAGCCAGGGGAGCAAACGGG
Molecule: ribosomal RNA, 253 nt
Filed under: uncultured bacterium
Lineage: Bacteria
Description: partial 16S ribosomal RNA
Rfam family: Bacterial small subunit ribosomal RNA
Source: RNAcentral